Non-coding RNA from Caenorhabditis elegans, 135 nucleotides. NCBI's taxonomy places the organism in Eukaryota, Metazoa, Nematoda, Chromadorea, Rhabditida, Rhabditidae. The record is from Ensembl.
AUCAUUUUUCAUCAUAAAUCACGCCGACAUGAUAUUCAGUCGGCUCAUAUCACCAUUUUACACCCUUUUCAACUUUGUGCCUUUCUUGUCAUGCUUUUCUCUUUACCCUCCACUCAAUUUUUCUUUUUCUCUUCA